RNAcentral lists this ribosomal RNA (861 nucleotides) under Lactiplantibacillus plantarum subsp. plantarum. RNAcentral's name for it is "bacterial SSU rRNA". It matches the Rfam family "Bacterial small subunit ribosomal RNA", at positions 19 to 844 of the family's 1533-position model. Lineage: Bacteria; Bacillati; Bacillota; Bacilli; Lactobacillales; Lactobacillaceae. The record is from RNAcentral.
CCUGCUCAGGACGAACGCUGGCGGCGUGCCUAAUACAUGCAAGUCGAACGAACUCUGGUAUUGAUUGGUGCUUGCAUCAUGAUUUACAUUUGAGUGAGUGGCGAACUGGUGAGUAACACGUGGGAAACCUGCCCAGAAGCGGGGGAUAACACCUGGAAACAGAUGCUAAUACCGCAUAACAACUUGGACCGCAUGGUCCGAGUUUGAAAGAUGGCUUCGGCUAUCACUUUUGGAUGGUCCCGCGGCGUAUUAGCUAGAUGGUGGGGUAACGGCUCACCAUGGCAAUGAUACGUAGCCGACCUGAGAGGGUAAUCGGCCACAUUGGGACUGAGACACGGCCCAAACUCCUACGGGAGGCAGCAGUAGGGAAUCUUCCACAAUGGACGAAAGUCUGAUGGAGCAACGCCGCGUGAGUGAAGAAGGGUUUCGGCUCGUAAAACUCUGUUGUUAAAGAAGAACAUAUCUGAGAGUAACUGUUCAGGUAUUGACGGUAUUUAACCAGAAAGCCACGGCUAACUACGUGCCAGCAGCCGCGGUAAUACGUAGGUGGCAAGCGUUGUCCGGAUUUAUUGGGCGUAAAGCGAGCGCAGGCGGUUUUUUAAGUCUGAUGUGAAAGCCUUCGGCUCAACCGAAGAAGUGCAUCGGAAACUGGGAAACUUGAGUGCAGAAGAGGACAGUGGAACUCCAUGCGUAGCGGUGAAAUGCGUAGAUAUAUGGAAGAACACCAGUGGCGAAGGCGGCUGUCUGGUCUGUAACUGACGCUGAGGCUCGAAAGUAUGGGUAGCAAACAGGAUUAGAUACCCUGGUAGUCCAUACCGUAAACGAUGAAUGCUAAGUGUUGGAGGGUUUCCGCCCUUCAGU